This 107-nucleotide small RNA is filed under the name Marmota monax (woodchuck). The record is from RNAcentral. Lineage: Eukaryota; Metazoa; Chordata; Mammalia; Rodentia; Sciuridae.
GCCAGGUGUGGUGGCUCACACCUGUAAUUCCAGUGGCUGGGGAGGCUGAGGCAGAAGGAUUGCAAGUUCGAGGCCAGCCUCAGCAACUCAGUGAGACCCUGUCUCAA